RNAcentral lists this unclassified non-coding RNA (2015 nucleotides) under Cimex lectularius (bed bug). RNAcentral describes it as "late secretory pathway protein AVL9 homolog, transcript variant X2". The record is from RNAcentral. Lineage: Eukaryota; Metazoa; Arthropoda; Insecta; Hemiptera; Cimicidae.
CCCAGUCGUAGUUCGUGAUGGGCGAGGACACAGAGAAAGACGGGCCUGUCCUUCACGUCGCCGUCAUCGGCUUCCACCAUAAAAAGGGAUGUCAGGUUGAAUUUUCUUAUCCACCUCUCGUCCCUGGAGGAGAUGUUACGUGUACAGAAUGUCCACCCGGUUGGAAAUACCUGCCGACCCUGGCACUCCCGGAUGGGUCGCACAACUACGAAAAGGACACCGUUUUCUUCCAUCUCCCAUCUCUGGACUGCCCGAACAAAACGGUCUUCGGCGUUUCUUGUUUUAGGCAAAUCCCAGUUGAAAAAAUUAAAAACCGUACUUCUGACAUAACCAGAGGGACAGUCCAAAAGGCAGUUUGUGUUCUGAGUAAAAUACCACUUUAUGGGCACAUUCAAGUUAAGAUGGAGCUUAUUACCCAUGCAUAUUUUGAAGAAGGGGAUUUUACUAAAGUUUCUUUACUUGAAGAUACUUAUAGAAAUUUAAAUGACUGUUUAAACCAAAUAUUUGACCUUCAUAGUGCUCCUCAGCUUUUUGUUGGGUUAUCUGCUCGGGAUCUCAUUUUAACUUUAAGGCAUAAAGUAUUACUUCUUUAUAAACUGGUGCUGCUUGAGAAGAAGGUGCUUUUCUUUCAGUCGCCUGUACAGCCACUUUGUACAACCAUUUUAACACUACUCUCUCUUCAUCCAAAUUUGGUAGAAGAUGGAUUGUUUCAGUCUGCAUGUUUCAAACCAUCAAGACCGAUGUCUCCAGUUCCUCGGUUUGAAGAGAAAACACAGAAAAGUGCAGACUUCUCGGAAGAAGCAGAUGUCAAAGAAGAGACUGAACUCAGACAUGACAAAGAAAUGAGUGAUAAUCAGGAGAUUAAUGAAAUGCUAAAGGCAGAUCCUAAUCGUAAUGGAAUGAAAAUGAGACAAGAGAUAAAUGGGAAUCAGCUUGCUGCUAGGAUUGAUUCCAAUGCGGAAAUAAUCAAAGAUGAUCAGAAACAUCUAUCAAACCCAACAGUUAUUGAUAGAGUGGAGAUUAAUGGACAUUUGGAGUGUGAAGAAGGAGAUGGUGAUAAAAAAAGCGAUAGCCCAAAAAGACUGAAUGAAGGUGAAAACAUAAUUGGAUCCAUAUCUAGAGAUCCUAGUAGUAUGGAUCUACUCGGAAAUGCUGGAAUUCAGAAUUCUCUUCUCAUGAUAGCACAGAUUGAUGCAAACUCUUGUGGUUUACCACUUCAAAUUUUCAACAAUGGUUACCUUUGUUUGCCGUACCUUUCACUGCCGUACAUGGAUGUUCUGACAGAUCCAAACAUUAGAGGUUAUUUACUCGGUGCUACAAAUGUUCUUUUUAAACAGAAAAAAAAUCUUGCUGAUGUAGUAAUAGAACUAGAAAACGGUAUAAUAGAAUGCCCAGAACAAGAUUUGAAAAGAGCUCUCACGCUUUCCACCGAGGAUCUUAGGUUUAGUGAAUUUCUUGUUCGCCAUGUCAGUGCAACAUGUACAAAGUAUGAUGUCUACGCAGAUGGUGUCGGAUGGGAGGGCAGCGAAGACUGGAUCAGAGCACAAUUCCUAGCUUAUACACUUUGCUUGCUUAGGACCAGUCUUCUACAAGAAGGGUGUAAGGAAAUAGACCAGUUUAACAAAAGUUAUGUAACGGCACUGCAAGAGUCGCAGAGCUACAAAGAAUGGAAAUCUGACCCAAGAUCCCAGAACAUUCUUGAAAUCAACCCCGGUCAUCCUUUUGCCGGACAAGUGUCUGUCGUUAAAGAUAUGAAACUGAAAAUUGAACAGUAUGUUUUCAAUCAGUUUUGAAGUGCAUUACAAUGCAAACAACAGAAAGCGGAAGAAAAUUAAACCAAGCUAUGGUCACGACUGGUAGAGCUGUAGCAACAACUGGCAAAGCAGUUGGUGGUGCAUUUAUCCAGGCACGUGGUGCUCUAAGCAGCUGGUGGAGUAAUUUGACUGCCCAACAGGUCUUAGAGACGAACAACAUAGAAAAGGCUAUUGAAGCCGACCAAGUCAACGAUGGGAUGA